RNAcentral lists this ribosomal RNA (629 nucleotides) under uncultured bacterium. RNAcentral's name for it is "partial 16S ribosomal RNA". The record is from RNAcentral.
UACCUUGUUACGACUUCACCCCCCUCACCAAGCACACCUUAGGUACCCCUCUCCUUGCGGUUAAGGUAAUAACUUCGGGUGUCCUCAACUCGGGUGGUGUGACGGGCGGUGUGUACAAGGCCCGGGAACGUAUUCACCGCAGCGUGCUGAUCUGCGAUUACUAGCGAUUCCAACUUCAUGGAGUCGAGUUGCAGACUCCAAUCUGAACUACGGACUGUUUUUUGGGAUUGGCUCCACCUCGCGGUAUUGCUACCCUUUGUACAGCCCAUUGUAGCACGUGUGUAGCCCAGGACAUAAGGGCCAUGAGGACUUGACGUCAUCCCCACCUUCCUCCGGUUUGUCACCGGCAGUUCCGCUAAAGUGCCCUGGCUUUACCCAGAUGGCACUAGCAGUAAGGGUUGCGCUCGUUGCGGGACUUAACCCAACAUCUCACAACACGAGCUGACGACAGCCAUGCAGCACCUGUCUAUCUGUCCUAAAAGGAACGGGAUAUCUCUACCCCUGUCAGAUAGAUGUCAAGCCCUGGUAAGGUUCUUCGCGUAUCAUUGAAUUAAACCACAUCCUCGCCCCCUUCUGCGGCCCCCCGUAAAUUCCUUUGAGUUUACCCUUGGGGGAUAGUCCCAGGGGGU